AUGUGGGAUAUUUCAUCAUUUAUACAGUAUUGUGCCUAUUUUCACUAUUUUCACUGUGUUCCUAGAUGGAAGAAUUCUCUUGGGGAGCAAAAAAAAAAGAGAGUAGAAAAAACCCCUGUUCCAACAAUGCUUUUCAUUCCUCCUCUCCAUGUCCAUAGCCAGAAGAUUUCAUUAUUGCUGCCUAAAAGCUUACUUUUUUAUUCUGGUUUCAGGGUAAGUUUCCUUGGUGAAAGAGAUAAUUGGAUUAAACCUAAAUUAGGUGCUACAGGAGAAAUCCAUGAAGAUAGAGCCAUCUCUAAAAGGAGAUCUCAGCAGCACAACAUGGUCCCGUUCAAGAAAGACUGUCAUACAAAAAGACCGCUUUUUUGAUCAAUUUUAUUUUAUACAGAUGUCUGUCAUGUGUAGGUUAUGGUAUUUCUGUAACAGACAUAAGUCCCCCAAAUCCUAAGGACUGCUUUUGAUCUAGUCAGAAAACAUUGCAUGUCAGUCAGUAUGAAUAACUACAACACAUUUGUUAGAAAAUAUUUGUAUCCUUUUUUUCCCAGGAAUUAUUUUCUAUCAGGAAGAACAGUAUUAAAAGGAGAAGUAUAUGACUUGCAUAUGGUUGUAUAGCUUGGAGGUCAUACAGAGCUGGAUUCUGCCCUCAUUGGGCACAUCUACGUGCAAUUAAUGUGCACAAAUAAGCUCCGGAUUUUAUUCCUCUGGAAUUUUUUGCUUUUGCCCAGGAGCAAAAAACUCUGGAGUAUAGUGCUCCAGAGUUUAUUUGUGUGCAGUAUAUUAAGUCUGGUCCUAGCAGCCUGGGCUGGCAGGGGGCCUGGCGGGGGGAUGGGGUACAGCCUGCCAGCUGAGAGCUGCUCUGAUGCUGCUCUAUUUGUUGAAGAAGGGCUGACUGAGGCAAGAGGGUGCUUCAGUAUGGGGGCUGUGUGAUAGCUAGCUCCACGAUGAAGCACCCUGUGCCCCAGCCAGCCAGGGAAGCAUCUACAUGUGUGCUGCUGCAUGUGAAAAAACUCUGCAGCAGGUUAGAACUUGUAUUUACAAGUCCUUACCUGCUGUGUAGCUAAUUAGUUUCAUGGGCCCUAAUAAGGGCACAUGUGUAGGUGCUGAGAUGUUUACUACCCAGUUAAUUAGUCAACUGUGCAGUAAACAUUUCAUGUAGACGUACCCAUUUAUGGCAGAAUGCCACCAGUGUGACUCCCUUAAUUUCCAUGGAAUUACUUACACCGCUGUGAGUGCAGAAUCAUGCUCUCACCGUACAUGGCAUGCAAGAAUCUAACAGUGUUUAUAGGCAUCUUGUCCAUAUGUGUUUGCAUUCUCUAGAAAUUAACUGCAGUACACAAUUGGAAAUAAUCAUGUCAGCAAACUGUUAGCAUUUUAUGGCAUAUUUUAAAACUUUAUGUGCUGAUUUAUUUUAUACUGCUUGCAUAUAGUAUGUUUAUAUUGUUGAGGUAGAAACUGACAUUCACCAUUAUGGCUGUCUGCAAUGCUCUGCUUUGAAACAAGGCAUAUGACUGAGUUUGAGAUUUUUCCCGUAUAAAGAAAUGUUAAUAAACAAAUAAACCACUUCA
RNAcentral lists this long non-coding RNA (1565 nucleotides) under Crocodylus porosus (Australian saltwater crocodile). RNAcentral describes it as "lncRNA (ENSCPRG00005002246.1)". Lineage: Eukaryota; Metazoa; Chordata; Crocodylia; Crocodylidae. The record is from RNAcentral.